GUGCAAGCGUUAAUCGGAAUUACUGGGCGUAAAGCGUGCGCAGGCGGUGAUGUAAGACAGAUGGGAAAUCCCCGGGCUCAACCUGGGAACUGCAUUUGUGACUGCAUCGCUGGAGUGCGGCAGAGGGGGAUGGAAUUCCGCGUGUAGCAGUGAAAUGCGUAGAUAUGCGGAGGAACACCGAUGGCGAAGGCAAUCCCCUGGGCCUGCACUGACGCUCAUGCACGAAAGCGUGGGGAGCAAACAGG
Molecule: ribosomal RNA, 245 nt
Filed under: uncultured bacterium
Lineage: Bacteria
Description: partial 16S ribosomal RNA
Rfam family: Bacterial small subunit ribosomal RNA
Source: RNAcentral